AAGGAUGUGGGAUUGCACAGACAACCAGGAUGUUGGCUUAGAAGCAGCCACUCAUUCAAAGAGUGCGUAAUAGCUCACUGGUCGAGUGAUCCUGCGCCGAAGAUUUCCGGGGCUAAAACUUACUACCGAAGCUACGGCAUCAGUAAUGAUGGGUAGGGGAGCUUCCCAUACGGGUUGAAGCAUGACCGUAAGGACAUGUGGACAGUAUGGGAGUGAGAAUGUUGGCAUGAGUAGCGAGAUGUGGGUGAGAAUCCCACAGGCCGUAAACCCAAGGUUUCCAGGGAAGGUUCGUCCGCCCUGGGUUAGUCGGGACCUAAGCUGAGGCCGAAAGGCGUAGGUGAUGGACAACAGGUUGAUAUUCCUGUACUACCGAUAACCGUUUGAGAGAUGGGAUGACACAGUAGGAUAAGCUAAGCACACUGUUGGUUAUGUGUGCCCAAGCAUUGAGGCAGUCAAAGUAGGCAAAUCCGCUUUGAUAAUGCUGGGAUGUGAUGGGGAGCGAAAUUUAGUAGCGAAGUAGUUGAUUUCACACUGUCAAGAAAAGUCUCUAUCGAGGUUAAAGGUACCCGUACCGCAAACCGACACAGGUGGGUGAGGAGAGUAUCCUAAGGCCAGCGAGAGAACUGUUGUUAAGGAACUCGGCAAAAUGACCCCGUAACUUAGGGAUAAGGGGUGCCACCAUCAGGUGGCCGCAGAGAAUAGGCCCAAGCGACUGUUUACCAAAAACAUAGGUUUCUGCUAAGUCGCAAGACGAUGUAUAGGAGCUGACGCCUGCCCGGUGCUGGAAGGUUAAGGGGAUCUGUUAGAGUAAUCGAAGCAGUGAACUUAAGCCCCAGUAAACGGCGGCCGUAACUAUAACGGUCCUAAGGUAGCGAAAUUCCUUGUCGGGUAAGUUCCGACCCGCACGAAAGGCGUAACGAUUUGGGCACUGUCUCAACAACAGACUCGGUGAAAUUGUAAUUCCGGUGAAGAUGCCGGAUACCUGCGACAGGACGGAAAGACCCCAUGGAGCUUUACUGUAGCUUGACAUUGGGUCUUGGUACUACAUGUACAGGAUAGGUGGGAGGCUUUGAAACCAGGACGCCAGUUUUGGCGGAGCCAUCCUUGGGAUACCACCCUUGUAGUACUGGGACUCUAACCAUAGGCCAUGAAUCUGGUCUUGGGACACUGUCAGGUGGGCAGUUUGACUGGGGCGGUCGCCUCCCAAAAGGUAACGGAGGCGCUCAAAGGUUCUCUCAGUACGGUCGGAAAUCGUACGUAGAGUGUAAAGGCAAAAGAGAGCUUGAUUGCAAGACAUACAGGUCGAGCAAGGAUGAAAAUCGGACUUAGUGAUCCGGUGGUUCUGCGUGGAAGGGCCAUCGCUCAACGGAUAAAAGCUACCCUGGGGAUAACAGGCUUAUCUCCCCCAAGAGUCCACAUCGACGGGGAGGUUUGGCACCUCGAUGUCGGCUCAUCACAUCCUGGGGCUGUAGUAGGUCCCAAGGGUUGGGCUGUUCGCCCAUUAAAGUGGUACGCGAGCUGGGUUCAGAACGUCGUGAGACAGUUCGGUCCCUAUCCGUCGCAGGCGUAGGAAAUUUGAGAAGACCUGUCCUUAGUACGAGAGGACCGGGAUGGACGUACCUCUGGUGUACCAGUUGUCCUGCCAAGGGCAUGGCUGGGUAGCUAUGUACGGAAUGGAUAAGCGCUGAAAGCAUCUAAGCGCGAAGCCAACUUCAAGAUAAGAUUUCCCACCGCAAGGGUAAGACCCCAGAAAGACUAUCUGGUUGAUAGGUCGAAGGUGUAAGUGCAGCAAUGUAUUUAGCUUAUCGAUACUAAUAGGUCGAGGACUUGACCAA
This 1835-nucleotide ribosomal RNA is filed under the name Clostridioides difficile DA00129. Its description in RNAcentral is "bacterial LSU rRNA". It matches the Rfam family "Bacterial large subunit ribosomal RNA", at positions 1069 to 2925 of the family's 2925-position model. The record is from RNAcentral. Lineage: Bacteria; Bacillati; Bacillota; Clostridia; Peptostreptococcales; Peptostreptococcaceae.